Molecule: ribosomal RNA, 508 nt
Filed under: uncultured bacterium
Lineage: Bacteria
Description: partial 16S ribosomal RNA
Rfam family: Bacterial small subunit ribosomal RNA
Source: RNAcentral
GACGAACGCUGGCGGCGUGCCUAAUACAUGCAAGUCGAACGCUUCUUUCCUCCCGAGUGCUUGCACUCAAUUGGAAAGAGGAGUGGCGGACGGGUGAGUAACACGUGGGUAACCUACCCAUCAGAGGGGGAUAACACUUGGAAACAGGUGCUAAUACCGCAUAACAGUUUAUGCCGCAUGGCAUAAGAGUGAAAGGCGCUUUCGGGUGUCGCUGAUGGAUGGACCCGCGGUGCAUUAGCUAGUUGGUGAGGUAACGGCUCACCAAGGCCACGAUGCAUAGCCGACCUGAGAGGAUGAUCGGCCACACUGGGACUGAGACACGGCCCAGACUCCUACGGGAGGCAGCAGUAGGGAAUCUUCGGCAAUGGGCGAAAGUCUGACCGAGCAACGCCGCGUGAGUGAAGAAGGUUUUCGGAUCGUAAAACUCUGUUGUUAGAGAAGAACAAGGACGUUAGUAACUGAACGUCCCCUGACGGUAUCUAACCAGAAAGACACGGCUAACUACGUG